AGCAGCUGGGACACAUUUUUGUUGACCAUACUCGCAGGUAAAAUAAGUAGAUUAUGUGGACAGCUCCAGCUCAUUUUCCUUAAAUCAGUGUGUACAAGGGGUAUGCAAAAAUAAUUUUUUUCUCGCGCACCGAUUCUUUUGCUGUAUAAGCAAGAGAACCCACCACGUUAGUGUAACGUAUCUUGUACAUCACACUAAUAAGUGCUUUAAUUUACCAAGUGAGAUGAGUUACUUUUAUGGAUCAUUCAGUCAUAUCACACUGCAAGCUGCAUUCAUCAAUCUUCAAUUGGAUUUCGCAUGAAACAUGUUUCCCUUUUAUGCAGAUAUGCAAUGGCAAGCCCUUCCGUGUGUUCCAAAGGUAAAAUUUAAGCUCGAAAUUAAAGAAGACAUUUCUAGUCAGAAACAAGCAAAAAUGGUGAAUGCAGAGUAUCAGAAGCCCAAGGUACAGAAAUUAUGAGAUGUGUCGAAUGAUUUUAAGGAAAGAAUGGUAUUUGAAGAUGCAAGAUUCUUUAGUGGAAAUCAAGCAAGUCAGUAUAGGUAGAAUACUCUGAGAAAUUAUGCGAGUAAUGGGAUAGCACACAAUGGGUCAGGAAAUGCGUUGUUUUUCUGAAAAACUAAAGCUGAUGACUGUCAUAUCAUGAGUCACUUUAGCAUCAUGAGACUGCUGUUUGAUAAAUUCAGAAACAAACCAAAAAGCAAGCCACGCAAAAAUUUAAAAAAACUAUUUAAUGAUGCUCUCUCCACACUGGGAUAAAUAAUAAGAAACGGAUCACGUCUAAUGUGGACAUAUCAGACACCUUGUGAAACGCUAAAGGAAAAGUUCAGUUUCGAGCUAUGGCACUUGCCACAUAGAUGUGGGGGGCCUUGCACCAAUAGUAAUAGUUACCACUGCAUCUAGAAAUUUAAAGCAUUCAUGCAGACAAGGAUCAUUCUUUAUAUUUUUGGCUACCACUUCAAAUGCCUCCACUAAGUGUUACAAUGCUGCACGCAGCCAUACUAAGGAUCUCACAGCAACACUUGCAGGUAAACAGCAAAAGCAGUCAAGUGCUGGUGUAUUCUGGACACUGUCUUUGAAAACUUUUAGGCAAGAACAGUGCAAGAAACAGACAUAAGAACUGCAUUUAUUUCUAUAAUUCCCCAUUUGAAUGGCCUUUUCUUUUUCCUUCGACAAUGCCUUCGCCUAGCCACAGCAGCUCCCUCAUACAGACUCCGCAAGCCAAGAGGCCGUGGAGGUAAAUGCAGACAGCCAGCACACCUCGAACAGCCACCUUGACUGCGGGUGUGUCACCCUAGUCGCCAAGGAAACAUUUGAGGGAAAGCGACAGGCAAUGUGAACAGCCACUUCUCCAUGUAAACGAUACUUUAUCUCUCGGAUGACUCCUACGUUCGCCACGCCAGCACACUUGUGCACAAAGAUGCCGCGGAGGCACGUGCAGGUCAGAGGCAAGAAGCAGUGGCACUGGUGUCGACAUUCGCCUAAUUUCUUUUUCUUACACUGAGGCAGCCAGCCCACCUCGAACAGCCACCUUAACUGCGGGUGUGUUAGUAGAUUCCUGUUGUACAUAUGCUCAUAAUAAACUUCAGUAAACUUGAACUUGAUAAUAAACUUGAAGGCAAAUGGGA
Molecule: non-coding RNA, 1623 nt
Organism: Dermacentor andersoni
Lineage: Eukaryota; Metazoa; Arthropoda; Arachnida; Ixodida; Ixodidae
Source: RefSeq, a predicted model, not a curated record